Molecule: ribosomal RNA, 468 nt
Filed under: uncultured bacterium
Lineage: Bacteria
Description: partial 16S ribosomal RNA
Rfam family: Bacterial small subunit ribosomal RNA
Source: RNAcentral
GACGAACGCUGGCGGCGUGCUUAACACAUGCAAGUCGAACGGAAAGGCCCUGCUUUUGUGGGGUGCUCGAGUGGCGAACGGGUGAGUAACACGUGAGUAACCUGCCCUUGACUUUGGGAUAACUUCAGGAAACUGGGGCUAAUACCGGAUAGGAGCUCCUGCUGCAUGGUGUGGGUUGGAAAGUUUCGGCGGUUGGGGAUGGACUCGCGGCUUAUCAGCUUGUUGGUGGGGUAGUGGCUUACCAAGGCUUUGACGGGUAGCCGGCCUGAGAGGGUGACCGGCCACAUUGGGACUGGAAUACGGCCCAGACUCCUACGGGAGGCAGCAGUGGGGAAUAUUGCACAAUGGGCGGAAGCCUGAUGCAGCAACGCCGCGUGCGGGAUGACGGCCUUCGGGUUGUAAACCGCUUUCGCCUGUGACGAAGCGUGAGUGACGGUAAUGGGUAGAGAAGCACCGGCUAACUACGUG